CAACCGCCCGUCACACCAUGGGAGUCGAUUGCUCCAGAAGUGCCUGAGCCAACCGCAAGGAGGCAGGGCCCAAGGAGUGAUCGGUAACUGGGGUG
RNAcentral lists this ribosomal RNA (95 nucleotides) under uncultured bacterium. Its description in RNAcentral is "partial 16S ribosomal RNA". It matches the Rfam family "Bacterial small subunit ribosomal RNA", at positions 1389 to 1482 of the family's 1533-position model. The record is from RNAcentral.